Molecule: ribosomal RNA, 606 nt
Filed under: Triticum aestivum (bread wheat)
Lineage: Eukaryota; Viridiplantae; Streptophyta; Magnoliopsida; Poales; Poaceae
Description: partial small subunit ribosomal RNA
Source: RNAcentral
UGUAGUCUCAACGAUGAUGCAUACAUGUCCACUAUGGGUGUUGGGUCCAACAAUUCGCAUUGGUCUCAAACCAAUGACAUCCAUUUCGAAGACCAUGAGUUUGAGGUGGACGAGGAGGGUGAGGGAAUUGUCGAGGCGCCGAGAGGAAGAGCGGGCAAUUACUCCACCACCGAUGACAAGUUACUAUGCAACACUUAUUUGCAUGUCUCCAAGGAUCCAUCCAUUGAAGGUGAUCAAAGUAGAGAUGCGUAUUGGGGGCGAAUGACAGAACGCUAUAAUGCUCACAACAAGAGUGGAAUUUACCGCUCCGAGAGAUCACUUCGGUCCCGAUGGUCGACAAUCAACUCGGAUUGUCAAAAGUGGGCGGCCGCGCAAAAGUCGGUGGACAAGAUUAACCCAAGUGGCACAAAUGAGGAUGAUCGAGUAAGUGGCAUCUCAUAUAUGUUCAUCAUACUUGUUUUUGGUGACCGAAGUGCUAACUUGUUUUGUUUUUCUUGUAGUUCAACAUUGCACAAAACUUGUUCAAAAAUGAGACAAGGACAACCAAGAAGGGGAAGAUCAAGAAAGGCCGGAUAUUUACCUUGCCUCAUUGCUAUGAAGUGUUAA